UGGGGAAUUUUGCACAAUGGGGGAAACCCUGAUGCAGCGACGCCGCGUGAUUUAGAAGGCCUUCGGGUUGUAAAAAUCUUUUUUACGGGAUGAAAAUGACAGUACCGUAAGAAUAAGGUCCGGCUAAAUACGUGCCAGCAGCCGCGGUAAUACGUAUGGACCGAGCGUUGUCCGGAAUCAUUGGGCGUAAAGGGUACGUAGGCGGCCUAGUAAGUUAGAAGUGAAAUAAUAUAGCUCAACUAUAUAAAGCUUUUAAAACUGCUAGGCUUGAGAGAUGGAAGGGAAAGUGGAAUUCCUAGUGUAGCGGUGAAAUGCGCAGAUAUUAGGAAGAAUACCGGUGGCGAAGGCGACUUUCUGGUCAUCAUCUGACGCUGAGGUACGAAAGCAUGGGUAGCAAACAGG
This 402-nucleotide ribosomal RNA is filed under the name bacterium. RNAcentral's name for it is "partial 16S ribosomal RNA". It matches the Rfam family "Bacterial small subunit ribosomal RNA", at positions 355 to 776 of the family's 1533-position model. The record is from RNAcentral.